Molecule: long non-coding RNA, 636 nt
Organism: Solanum lycopersicum (tomato)
Lineage: Eukaryota; Viridiplantae; Streptophyta; Magnoliopsida; Solanales; Solanaceae
Source: RefSeq, a predicted model, not a curated record
AAAGCCAUUCUUCUUUCUUCAAUUCUCUAAUGUUACUUCCCCCAUAUUUGCCUUAGAAUAAAAACAUUUCUUCAAUUUUCAAACUUUUUUUUUUGGUAUAAUAUACGUAGAGAGCUUUCUUUAGUCCACAUAAAGGGGGCAGUAUGGUUCAAUUAGCUGCUGACUCAUUCACACAAAUGCUAAGGCUUUGAGAAUUAUUAGGAGGAAAAACCUUAGUAACUGAGUGAAUGAUGCGGUAGGCUGACUGAAUCUUAAGCUUUUUUUGCUUGGACUGAAGGGAGCUCCCUCUUCGUAAUUACUUGAUAAUAUAUUUUCUUUUAUAUAUCUUCAAAUUUAUUAAAUUCCUAUUUGUACUCUACAUUUUAGUUUUAGUUAUUUGGUUAUUUCCUUCAUUUUGUUUAAUGGAUCAUAUCGAAGCAAUGGUAUUUCGAAAUAUAUUGAUAUAUUGUAUUGUCUCACAAGGACAAUUGGAAAAAAUUAAAUUUGAUUAAUAGAAGAUGGAAUACUGGAUUUCCCUAAGAGGAAGCUCUAUCACAACUAUAUGAUAUACAUUUAUACAUCUUUUUGUCCUCCUUGUAAGCAAAUACUAAAUAAAUGAGAAAUAUUAGGGUUUGUUUGUUUGAAAGGUUGCGAGUA